This 348-nucleotide ribosomal RNA is filed under the name uncultured bacterium. Its description in RNAcentral is "partial 16S ribosomal RNA". It matches the Rfam family "Bacterial small subunit ribosomal RNA", at positions 338 to 697 of the family's 1533-position model. The record is from RNAcentral.
CCUACGGGGUGCAGCAGUAGGGAAUUUUCGGCAAUGGGGGGAACCCUGACCGAGCAACGCCGCGUGAACGAAGAAGUUAUUCGUAAUGUAAAGUUCUUUUAACAGGGAAGAAAGAGAAAUUUGACGGUACCUGAAGAAUAAGCUCCGGCAAACUACGUGCCAGCAGCCGCGGUAAUACGUAGGGAGCGAGCGUUAUCCGGAAUUAUUGGCCGUAAAGGUUGCGUAGAUGGCAUAGUAAGUCUUUUGUAAAAAUGCUGGGCUAAACCCAGGAGGGCAAAAGAUACUGCAAAGCUAGAGUAUAACAGAGGCAGGUGGAACGAAAGGUGUAGCGGUAAAAUGCGUAGAUAU